RNAcentral lists this ribosomal RNA (231 nucleotides) under uncultured bacterium. RNAcentral's name for it is "partial 16S ribosomal RNA". It matches the Rfam family "Bacterial small subunit ribosomal RNA", at positions 103 to 334 of the family's 1533-position model. The record is from RNAcentral.
CGGGUGCGUAACGCGUAUACAAUCUACCUUUUACAGGGGGAUAGCCCAGAGAAAUUUGGAUUAAUACCCCAUGGCAUAUAUUUAUGGCAUCAUAUAUAUAUUAAAGAUUCAUCGGUAAGAGAUGAGUAUGCGUUCUAUUAGCUAGUAGGUGCGGUAACGGCGCACCUAGGCUACGAUAGAUAGGGGCCCUGAGAGGGGGAUCCCCCACACUGGGACUGAGACACGGCCCAG